This is a long non-coding RNA of Oreochromis aureus, 1297 nucleotides long. The record is from Ensembl. Lineage: Eukaryota; Metazoa; Chordata; Actinopteri; Cichliformes; Cichlidae.
CUGCAGUAAAGGUUUGUUCUAUGAUUUUAAAACUGCUUAAUGUUGUAAAUGAUCAGAUGAAGUCACAUAUGCUGGCUAUAGGUCAGACUUGAACUAUCAGCCUGCCAGUUAUCUCAAAGUCUGUGGGAGGCAGAAACAAAUGACUAAGAAAAAACAAAAAUGAUGACUCAAGAACUGAAAAUGACCUGAAAUAAACCUCAACAGAGACUUUAAGUCAGUAUAAAGAGAUGCAAAAACAACUUAAACUGCAUGCAAAACAACCACAAAGAGCCUAAAAAUGGCUAAAACUGGUACAAAUGGUGCCAGGGACACGGAACAAUUAAAAACUGGUUCAAAAUAUGCACAAACGGACACAAACCGAGAACAAAGACACUCAAAAUGUCUAAAAUUAGACUUGAAUGACAACAAAUAGACUUAAAAAACAGGCUGGUGGUGGAAAAGAUGCAUGAAAACUAAAGGCGCGCGCACUCAAGGACCACGCCCAUGUGUGCAGGGUUCAUGUUUUUCUUCUACAGGAACACCUGUGCAGAUGUGGGCGGAGUCUCAGAGGACAACCCCGGAACCAGCAGCGUGUUUGUUUGUGUCUCUGCAGCUGUGCCUCAUCAGACCUCCACGGCCUGCUCCUCAUUACAAACACCAAACAUGUCCUGACUGUUUAAGCCUCGUGUGUCACCCGCUAUGAGGGGAUCACGCGUAUUUCAGGCUAUCUAACUCCGUGUUGGUGACACGUGUGGGCCCGUGGGUCCGCUCCGGCCUGCAAACAUGUUUACAUCUGAUCGCUCCGCCUGCAGAGAGGACAGGAGCUCCGACAGCCGCUCGGGGAGCACAGAUUAAUUUUAGCCCACCUAAUCGACCCCCACGAAGCCCGCGAGACCGCUCCGUCUGUGUCGGCCGCCGGUUCCGAUUUGCGGCGUUUCCAGGCAGAGAAUCCCGAUCGACGUGUCGGCUGAGUGAAGGCUGCGGAGAUCGUGAUGGAGGAAGAAGGAUCACUCCGCGGAAAUCUCCAAGCCAACGCGGAAGUGGCACAAUCUGCAAUUCCUCAGACGUCCAGCAGAGGCAGCAGCGAGCCGGUCCCAUAGACUUCCACGCCCUUCAGAGUUCCAUAGUAAAGAUGAGGUGGGUCGUUUGCUGUAACAGGUCCUCGGAUGUUUGUGUGUUUCUGUGAGGAAACCUUUGGAAACACUCCACAUGAAGAUGACAGUAUAAAUCCAGUCUGUGCACCGCAUCAGGCAGACGCCUCUCUGGGCGCACCUGCGCAGGUACAAACGGACUUUAACGCUGGGGCGGAGUGAUAUCU